Molecule: long non-coding RNA, 1052 nt
Organism: Gasterosteus aculeatus aculeatus (three-spined stickleback)
Lineage: Eukaryota; Metazoa; Chordata; Actinopteri; Perciformes; Gasterosteidae
Source: Ensembl
CCAGUUGCCACGGGUGCAUAAAAUGUGACGCAAUGUGCCUCCGCCAGACUUAAUAUUGUGAACGAACGCCGCGCGCGAGCAAACUGUUCGCUCAUUGGUCCGAUGGUCACGCGUCUAUAAAUAGGCUCCGUUCCGUUUAGCUUUUACAGGUGAGGGGGCUCGGGCCUGCAUGAACCCGGCCCUGCUGUAGAAGGCGGUUUGUGGCCUAAACAGUUUCCAUAGGCGGCCGAAUAAACACUCUCCUCGCCUGUGAAGACCCAACGAUGUCCCGAGGACACGGACGGAGGUGGGGGGAGGUGCAGGAAGCGGACUCCUCGUCGCUCUCCUUCUUGAAGCAGGACGGCUGGAGACAGAUGGAAAAGGCCCGCUGACACUAAUCCGCUGUAUGAGACCAGGAAGGGACGUGAGAGAGACGGAUAGAAGACGAGCAUGUGACAUAGAGAGUGAUGGUGAGCUACAGAGACACGGACUGGGACACAAGGCCCGUCUUUGUCUAUCAAACCGGAUCCACGCGGAGGCCUGAGAGGAAUUCAGGCUGGCGGCCCGGCCCUUCAUGUCCGCUGCGAGGCGGCAGAACAGUUCCUGAAAGACGUCAGUAAGCAGGACGCGGUCCCAACGUGUGCUCGCAUGGAUCCCGGCCGAGAAUUCCUACUUUAAGACGUUAAUUUUUCCUCAUGACGGCUCUUUUACCAACGUUGACCUGUUGCCAGGUUGGUCCUAUGUUACAGACUGAAAGUACAUGGUGCCCCAAGAGGUUUAAGACCUGGAUUGGUAAUUUGGAGCACACACAUUCAUGGCAAAAGAAAAGAAAUUGAGGCCUUAAAAUGUGUUCGAACUGCUCCUCUCUGACGAGUGGAAGCCGACGAGCGCUGCUGCAGAUCUGUAUGAAAUCAGGAGCACAUUUUGGAUGAGAUGUCGCUUGAGGACUCGUUGAACUCUUACAUCAUCUCAACCAGAGGGUGCCGGGCCGGAGAGAUCGCGGCCUCCAGGCCGAAGUUGCUCCACUGGAAGCAGAACGCACCCUGUUUGCAUUCGUAAUACACUCCUCUUAA